GACGAACGCUGGCGGCGUGCUUAACACAUGCAAGUCGAACGGAAAGGCCCUGCUUUUGUGGGGUGCUCGAGUGGCGAACGGGUGAGUAACACGUGAGUAACCUGCCCUUGACUUUGGGGUAACUUCAGGAAACUGGGGCUAAUACCGGAUAGGAGCUCCUGCUGCAUGGUGGGGGUUGGAAAGUUUCGGCGGUUGGGGAUGGACUCGCGGCUUAUCAGCUUGUUGGUGGGGUAGUGGCUUACCAAGGCUUUGACGGGUAGCCGGCCUGAGAGGGUGACCGGCCACAUUGGGACUGAGAGACGGCCCAGACUCCUACGGGCGGCAGCAGUGGGGAAUAUUGCACAAUGGGCGGAAGCCUGAUGCAGCAACGCCGCGUGAGGGAUGACGGCCUUCGGGUUGUAAACCGCUUUCGCCUGUGACGAAGCGUGAGUGACGGUAAUGGGUAAAGAAGCACCGGCUAACUACGUG
RNAcentral lists this ribosomal RNA (468 nucleotides) under uncultured bacterium. RNAcentral describes it as "partial 16S ribosomal RNA". It matches the Rfam family "Bacterial small subunit ribosomal RNA", at positions 28 to 507 of the family's 1533-position model. The record is from RNAcentral.